RNAcentral lists this transfer RNA (68 nucleotides) under Marmota monax (woodchuck). Its description in RNAcentral is "tRNA.Ala". Lineage: Eukaryota; Metazoa; Chordata; Mammalia; Rodentia; Sciuridae. The record is from RNAcentral.
GUUGUGGCUCAGUGGUAGAGUGCUUGCCUAGCAAGUGUGAGGCACUGGGUUCAAUCCUCAACAUGACA